Molecule: long non-coding RNA, 271 nt
Organism: Oenanthe melanoleuca
Lineage: Eukaryota; Metazoa; Chordata; Aves; Passeriformes; Muscicapidae
Exons: 3
Source: RefSeq, a predicted model, not a curated record
GUGCUGUACCUGCCCCAGGUGUGCUGUACCUGCCCCAGGUGUGCUGUACCUGUACCCAGGUGCCCCCAGGUGCCCCAUACCUGUUUGUAGAGCCAGAGCAGGGCGCACACCAGGCUGAUGUCAGCCAGGCUCACCCUGUGUGACCCCCCAGGUGUGCUGUACCUGCCCCAGGUGCCCCGUACCUGUUUGUAGAGCCAGAGCAGGGCGCACACCAGGCUGAUGUCAGCCAGGCUCACCCUGUGUGAUUCCCCAGGUGUGCUGUACCUGUCCC